RNAcentral lists this long non-coding RNA (778 nucleotides) under Heterocephalus glaber (naked mole-rat). Its description in RNAcentral is "lncRNA (ENSHGLG00000035131.1)". The record is from RNAcentral. Lineage: Eukaryota; Metazoa; Chordata; Mammalia; Rodentia; Bathyergidae.
CCCUACACGAAAACACAAGCACUUCUGCCGUGUGCAGUACGUGCAGGCGUGCACGCGCACACAAGUUCACGGCUCUGAGGUCCGGUGGCCACGUGUGGCCUUCAGCACUGGAAACUAGCUUAGCUGAGGGGUUUGAACUCAGGACCUUCCUCUUGCAAGGCAGGCGACAGAACCACUGAGCUAAAUCCCCGGCCCCAAUUCUGAUUAAUUUUAACAAUCCUGAUUAAUGUGAAAAUGGUGGUUUUUUUGGUUUUUUGUUUUGUUUUUUUUUGGUACAGGGGAUCGAACUCCGGUCCUUGCGCUGGAAACCACUGAGGGUCUUGCUGGCCUGGAAAGUGAAACCCUUCCUCCUCAGCCUCCUGCGCAGCCCAGCUAUGGAAUUCCAAGACAUAAUUCCAUUUUGUCCUCCGCUCCCAACUGAGACCUCAAUGAUCCGGUGAUGCUGUGAUUCUCCAGGACAGGAAACAUCCUGGGAGCUGCAAACAUCCUGGGAGAACAAACAUCUACUCAGUUCCUCCUUGAUCUUGGACUGUUACACCUUGUUUACCCAGGAUGUACUGAACUCUCUGCGAGUCAUUUGUUACAUUUGUUUCUCCCGAUGUACUGAGUACUGAAUAAAAGGUGCAGUAAGCUGGGGGCUUUCGUCUUUGCCCCCCAGAGCAGCACUGAUCAGACCCAAAGCUCAGCUUCUUCUCAGUCUCAUUUUUCUACCUUUUCUGUAAUUUGCCUUGUGCUGCUGUGGCUCGCAGGAGACUAGGACUUAACUGCAGAGGUUCUG